Non-coding RNA from Mycena crocata, 94 nucleotides. The record is from the annotation of a GenBank genome assembly. NCBI's taxonomy places the organism in Eukaryota, Fungi, Basidiomycota, Agaricomycetes, Agaricales, Mycenaceae.
GCGCAAAUGGUGUAUCGGUAACAUUGGGUCUUCCCAUGUCACUCAUUGAGGGAGUUUGAUGGCCUAGCACGGGGUUCGACUCCCCGUUUGCGCA